RNAcentral lists this ribosomal RNA (594 nucleotides) under Thaxterogaster mutabilis. RNAcentral describes it as "eukaryotic LSU rRNA". It matches the Rfam family "Eukaryotic large subunit ribosomal RNA", at positions 1 to 596 of the family's 3401-position model. The record is from RNAcentral. Lineage: Eukaryota; Fungi; Basidiomycota; Agaricomycetes; Agaricales; Cortinariaceae.
GACCUCAAAUCAGGUAGGACUACCCGCUGAACUUAAGCAUAUCAAUAAGCGGAGGAAAAGAAACUAACAAGGAUUCCCCUAGUAACUGCGAGUGAAGCGGGAAAAGCUCAAAUUUAAAAUCUGUCAGUCUUUGGCUGUCCGAGUUGUAAUCUAGAGAAGUGUUGUCGGCGCUGGACCGUGUACAAGUCUCCUGGAAUGGAGCGUCAUAGAGGGUGAGAAUCCCGUCUUUGACACGGACUGCCAGGGCUUUGUGAUGCGCUCUCGAAGAGUCGAGUUGUUUGGGAAUGCAGCUCAAAAUGGGUGGUAAAUUCCAUCUAAAGCUAAAUAUUGGCGAGAGACCGAUAGCGAACAAGUACCGUGAGGGAAAGAUGAAAAGAACUUUGGAAAGAGAGUUAAACAGUACGUGAAAUUGCUGAAAGGGAAACGCUUGAAGUCAGUCAUGUUGUCCAGGGAUCAACCUUGCUUUUGCUUGGUGUACUUUCUGGUUGACGGGUCAGCAUCAAUUUUGACCAUUGGAAAAAGAUUGAGGGAAUGUGGCAUCCUUGGAUGUGUUAUAGCCCUUGGUUGCAUACAAUGGUUGAGAUUGAGGAACUC